CGGGUCUGCUUAGCUGCAGGUCUUCGCCUUUUGGUGGAGAUGCGCGAUACACUUGUCAAGUGGUGCGCGCUCGUUGAGUUACUCGGACAUGCUUGCCAGUGCACUUUCUCGGGGUGUUCACCACGACCGGCGCUGCUACUUGUCUGAUAUGGUUAAACCGUUCUUGCUUGGUCCUUGUGGCUUUGCUUGAUCGGGAUGGCAGGUAGCUCGGUAACUUGUGUGUUGGCCUCGGCCGGCAUGCGCUUGGUUUCCGAGUGUAAUCAGCUGACUGUAUUGGUGCUAUGUAGUGCGUCGGAGACGGCGGCUUGUGGUGUGUGCCUGCGUGCCUAUCUGCUGACGGAACCGGGUUUGGUUAUUAUGUUGCCUGUUUUGCAGGCCUGGUGAUGGCCCGGUUACGCUUGGUGGA
This 406-nucleotide ribosomal RNA is filed under the name Catatropis sp. SR-2023. RNAcentral's name for it is "partial large subunit ribosomal RNA". The record is from RNAcentral. Lineage: Eukaryota; Metazoa; Platyhelminthes; Trematoda; Plagiorchiida; Notocotylidae.